Clarias gariepinus (North African catfish) is the source of this 2672-nucleotide RNA transcript. It is a transcript of the gene named finTRIM family, member 92, with no coding region annotated. The record is from RefSeq and is a predicted model, not a curated record. NCBI's taxonomy places the organism in Eukaryota, Metazoa, Chordata, Actinopteri, Siluriformes, Clariidae. The transcript has 7 exons.
CUGAAAUCCUGCUUCCUGGACAGAUCACAUUCUCACUCUCUCUCUCUCUAGUGCUUAAACGAUGGCAGCCUACAGCAAUCCACGGAUACAGAACUCUCAUGAGUGCAGUUUGUGUCUUACAAAAUCAAAGAAUGUCAUUACUAUUCCCUGCGGGCAUGACUUCUGCAGGGCCUGCACCGACGGCUUAAUCAGUAAAUAUGAACGCACGGGCUCAUACAGCUGCCCGCAGUGCUCGCAAACUUUCUCCACUAAGCCUGAGCAGGAUGGACCUGUGGACAAAGUUGAAGACGAACUCAAAGAGACAGCUCUCCACACGCAUACCCGAGCAGACACGACUACCACACCCGAGGACGUGGCCUGCGACGCAUGCAGACAGAAAGCCGUCAAGUCGUGUCUGAUGUGUCUGGCCUCGUAUUGUGACCGACACCUCGAGCUUCACAACGACCUCCAUGCGAGGGCUUUACACACACUAGUGGAUGCUACUGAUCAGCUGUAUGCGUUGACAUGCUCCGUACACGGUAAAGUCCUGGAGGUUUACUGCCGGAAAGAGAAACAACGCAUCUGUUGCAUGUGCAUGCUGGAGGAUCAUAAGGGGCACGACAUGGUGGCAGCAGGUCAGGCAGACAAGAAGGAGGAGCUGAGAAACUCCAAGCGGAUAAUCACAGAGCAAGAGAAGCAGCUAAAGGAGCUUCGCUUGGCUAAAAACAAUCUUAGGGACAUGGCACUAGCUACGGAGGAAGAGACCGAGCGUCUUCUCACCGAGCUGAUCCGCUCUAUAGAAAGCAGCCAGUCUGUGAUAAAGGCCCUGAUCCGAGCUCAGGAGCGAGCAGAACUGGAAAGAAUCAAGGAGCUGAUCAAGCAGAUGGAGGACGAGAUGAGCGAGCUGAAGAGGAGUGAUGCAGAGAUGGAGCAGCUCUCGAGCAAUCAGAAUGACAUGCAGUUCCUGCAGUCAGUCCAGGCCCUCAGUCUGACUUCUGCAAACCUCUUCAAGAUAACCGUCAAUCCUCAGUUCUCUUUCGGGGAGGUGGUGAAAUCCAUCUCAGCGUUCAAGAAGCGGAUCGAUGAUGUCUGGCAGUGUGAAAUCGAUCAAAUAUCAGCAGCAGUGAAGAAAGACAAAAUUGUAGUUCCUUCUGAACCGAAGACAAGAACGGACUUCCUGCAAUAUCUGGUCCCACUAUCUCUUAACUGCGACACAGCCCACAAAAGCUUGAGUAUCUGUGAAGAGAAGCAAGUGACUUGUAGCACUGAGUGCCAUGACUAUCCUGACCACCCUGAACGCUUCGACUGGUGGGCGCAGGUUCUUUGCCGAGAUCCGCUGAACACACGCUGCUACUGGGAGGCCGAAUGGACAGGAUUACACGGAGUGGACAUUGCAGUCUCAUACAGAGACAUUACCCGUAAGGGAGAGGAUGAUGGAUGCAGCUUUGGGUACAACCAGCAGAGCUGGAAUUUGGACUGCGCCAUAAUGAAAUAUACUUUUGCUCAUGAUGGCGUAGAAAUGGAAAUCUCAGCACCUGUAUCCCACAGGAUCGGGGUAUAUCUCGACUACAAGGCUGGACUGCUGUCUUACUACAGUGUCUCAGAUCACAUGACGCUCCUCCACAGCGUAAAGACAAGGUUCACGCAGCCUCUAUAUGCUGGGUUUGGGUUGUUUCAGGGAUCCACAGUAAAAAUAUGCCAACCAGAUUUAAAAGUAAAACAACAAGAUAACCAAAGUGUCAAGAGAUGUACGAAUGUGAACGGAAACAGCACAUGAAGAAAAGAACAUAAUGAGAUCCUCAUUGGGGCUGAAGUUUAACAUUUGACCUGCUGUUAAGGGAACACGAGUUUGAAACCCAACAAUGCCACAUUUACAGCAUUCUUUUUAAGGGCAAAUUAGAUUUCAGCAGUUGGGGGUUGGGUGAGUUGCUAAAGUGCCCAGCUGGGAUUUAGAAAUCCAAAUUCUAAUGCAAUUUGCAAAAUGCAAUCUUUUUUUGGCUUCUUCCAUCACCUGCUCACAACCUGGCAGGGUUUGCACCAGAUGCAACCAUCCCAUUUUAUUUAGUCUUGUGCAUUUCGUCCAGUGGCUGGGGUUUGGACCCGCAGUGGGCAUUGGCUGGGACUUUUGGCUGGGACUUGGACCUGGGCCUUCCGCAUGGCGGGUAAGACAUCUACCACUGUCCCAAUGUGAUUUGCUACCACUCACGCCCAUGAAAGCCCAUAGAAAUGAUAAAAAGAUGUGCUCUCCAUAAGCAAUCACGGUGCUUUCCGGAAGCUAUCAAUACAGUGCGGAAACCAGUUGCACAAAAACUCUCCAAAAAUGACAUAAAAAAAAGAAGAAAUGAUGGUAUUUCAACCACCUACGCAAGAAUUUGGGAUAACAUGGAAACAUUUAUUAAUCACAAAUUUUGAAAUAAACCAAUCAACCUGAGACACUGAGCUGAAAAAAAUGUUUCAUGCUGGGGAUUUCGACUCGACGGCGUCAUGCAGCUCCAUCGGGAACCAAACUGCUCAGGAGUGUUUGGGUGUUAAACCCGUUUCACUUCAAAACAGACUUCGGAUGGUCACCCCCCUCCAGGAGAACCUUCUUAUCAACACGACGUCGUUUUCAUGUUAAAAGGCUGAACGUACAGUACACACCCGUGUCCUUAACUGUGACUCAAAAUCAGAUUAAAUAUGAUUCAUGAUAAUCC